Mus musculus (house mouse) is the source of this 1484-nucleotide long non-coding RNA. RefSeq annotates it as predicted gene, 52118. The record is from RefSeq and is a predicted model, not a curated record. NCBI's taxonomy places the organism in Eukaryota, Metazoa, Chordata, Mammalia, Rodentia, Muridae. The transcript is spliced from 3 exons.
ACUUGGGAGAGGCCCUGCACCUUGCCUGGGCAGCACAGUAGAGCUGACCCUAGUGAUGAAGGUGCUGGUGAGCCAGUCCCCAGGGCAUGAGAGCAGAAGAGCUGACCCUCUCUCUUGGCAUCUGCAGCACUGGGUGUGCUAGCUGGGGCGAUGCUAGCUGGGGCGAUGCUGGACAGUUCACCCUGGUGGUGCAGGGGCAGGAGAGUGGCCAGGCUGACCAACUCAGGGCUCCGAGUUGGCCAACCACAAUAUCUAGGUGGAGCUUGUGAAGGGGCCAGUCCUGUAGGCCCAACGCUACAGUAUCUCCAUGACACAGGGCAACAACGGGACGUACCAGAGUCCAGGCAAGCAACGAGCUACGGAAGGCUAUGCAAGAGUAACAGCAGCCUUUACUCCAAUAAGUUCACGAACAACCUGUCACCCAGGUUGUGCUCCCUGCCCUCCUGAUCCCGUGUCCAGUGUGACAAGGCACAGAGAAGACUAGAAGAGCAGCCAGCACUCACUGGUUUACACUGGAAGGGCCUGGAUCACAGAACGGUGGGGAGAUCUCAAGAGCAGUUGGAGAAAUCAAAAACUAAAGAAAACUGAGCCUGGAACGGGAAGCCUUGUUUUUGAACCUUGAAAGAAGUCAGCAGCUGAGACAGUGUGGUUAUCACGGCUUAGCUGGAGAAUGUCCAACCCUGCCAUCAGGUACUGGAGUUUUCUCAAAGCAUACCCCAUGCCAUCUUCGGGGCCAGAAUCCAACCAAAAGGUAUUAUUUAUGAAAGGUUCCACGCACAAAAAACGUCACCCUAUCCCCCUCUUCCUAGUAAGGGUGAUUAUGUGGAGACAUUAACAUUGACAGAGACAAAACUAUAAAGAUCUUUAAGGCAGUGCUCUCCGCAGCCUCCUGCACCGAUGUAGUCAGGAGUCUCCCUUAGGCGUGGAGAGGCUGCUGCAUGGUCAGGAGCACUGUCUGCUCUUCCAGAGAGAGGUCCACGGUUUCACUCCUAGCACCCAAGCGACAGCUACAACUGUAACUCGUUUCAGGGGAUCUGGCCACCGUGGGCACCAGGCAUACACAGGGUACACAGAUAAAUAUGCAGGCAGAACAGCCCUACACAAAAGAAUCUCUCCCUUGAAAGAAGCAGCCACUGGGGCCCACAGGAUAGACAGCCACUGAGAUGAUAGCACAACAUCUUCCUUCUUGCCUGUCUCUUCGACCCACCUCUAACGGAAUCGCUGACCUUCCAGUCUCACAUGCUAGCCCUCCCAGACAGUGGUGCUCUUCCCGUGGGCAGCCUGGCUCCAGGGAGGACAGGCAGCCUGUGCUGUGCUAUUCCUGCUGCUCCAGAGCUGGAGACUGAAGACAGGGCUGGUGGUGAGCAGAGACUGGGGACAGCCCAGGAAGGAAGAUGUUCUUUGGCUUAGUUCAUUUUGAGCCUCUCCUCGUUCUAUGACAUCCUAGCACCCCCUUCGGGGCAGAGCAGGCCACCAGCUCACCU